RNAcentral lists this ribosomal RNA (213 nucleotides) under uncultured bacterium. RNAcentral's name for it is "partial 16S ribosomal RNA". It matches the Rfam family "Bacterial small subunit ribosomal RNA", at positions 524 to 736 of the family's 1533-position model. The record is from RNAcentral.
UACGAAGGGGGCUAGCGUUGUUCGGAAUUACUGGGCGUAAAGCGCGCGUAGGCGGCGUGACAAGUUAGGCGUGAAAUGCCUGGGCUUAACCCAGGAACUGCGCUUAAGACUGUUAUGCUAGAGACUAGGAGAGGGUGGCGGAAUUCCCAGUGUAGAGGUGAAAUUCGUAGAUAUUGGGAAGAACACCGGUUGCGAAGGCGGCCACCUGGACUA